ACUUACGGCCAUACCAGCCUGGGUACGCCCGAUCUCUUCUGAUCUCGGAAGCUAAGCAGGGUCGGGCCUGGUUAGUACUUGGAUGGGAGACCGCCUGGGAAUACCAGGUGCUGUAAGCA
This 119-nucleotide ribosomal RNA is filed under the name Salmo salar (Atlantic salmon). Lineage: Eukaryota; Metazoa; Chordata; Actinopteri; Salmoniformes; Salmonidae. The record is from RNAcentral.